CUGCCGCGUGUGUGAAGAAGGCCUUCGGGUGUAAAGCACUUUCGGACCGGAACGAAAUCGCGCGGGCUAACACUCCGCGUGGAUGACGGUACCGGAAGAGAAGCACCGGCUAACUACGUGCCAGCAGCCGCGGUAAUACGUAGGGUGCGAGCGUUAAUCGGAAUUACUGGGCGUAAAGUGUGCGCAGGUGGCCGCGCAAGUCGAGUGUGAAAGCCCCGGGCUUAACUUGGGAAUUGCGCUCGAAACUACGUGGCUAGAGUGUGGCAGAGGAAGGUGGAAUUCCACGUGUAGCGGUGAAAUGCGUAGAGAUGUGGAGGAACACCGAUGGCGAAGGCAGCCUUCUGGGCCAACACUGACGCUCAUGCACGAAAGCGUGGGGAGCAAACAGGAUUAGAUACCCUGGUAGUCCACGCCCUAAACGAUGAUGACUAGUUGUUGGGGGAGUUAAAUCCCUUAGUAACGCAGCUAACGCGUGAAGUCAUCCGCCUGGGGAGUACGGUCGCAAGAUUA
RNAcentral lists this ribosomal RNA (510 nucleotides) under uncultured Pseudomonadota bacterium. RNAcentral describes it as "bacterial SSU rRNA". It matches the Rfam family "Bacterial small subunit ribosomal RNA", at positions 394 to 896 of the family's 1533-position model. The record is from RNAcentral. Lineage: Bacteria; Pseudomonadati; Pseudomonadota.